This 253-nucleotide ribosomal RNA is filed under the name uncultured Lactobacillus sp. Its description in RNAcentral is "partial 16S ribosomal RNA". It matches the Rfam family "Bacterial small subunit ribosomal RNA", at positions 524 to 776 of the family's 1533-position model. The record is from RNAcentral. Lineage: Bacteria; Bacillati; Bacillota; Bacilli; Lactobacillales; Lactobacillaceae.
UACGUAGGGAGCGAGCGUUAUCCGGAAUUAUUGGGCGUAAAGGGUGCGCAGGCGGAAAGAUAAGUCUGAUGUGAAAGCCCCCGGCUUAACCGAGGAAUUGCAUCGGAAACUGUGUUUCUUGAGUGCAGAAGAGGAGAGUGGAACUCCAUGUGUAGCGGUGGAAUGCGUAGAUAUAUGGAAGAACACCAGUGGCGAAGGCGGCUCUCUGGGCCGCAACCGACGCUGAGGCUCGAAAGCAUGGGUAGCGAACAGG